CGAAUGCUGACAUAAGUAACGAUAAAGCGGGUGAAAAGCCCGCUCGCCGGAAGACCAAGGGUUCCUGUCCAACGUUAAUCGGGGCAGGGUGAGUCGACCCCUAAGGCGAGGCCGAAAGGCGUAGUCGAUGGGAAACAGGUUAAUAUUCCUGUACUUGGUGUUACUGCGAAGGGGGGACGGAGAAGGCUAUGUUGGCCGGGCGACGGUUGUCCCGGUUUAAGCGUGUAGGCUGGUUUUCCAGGCAAAUCCGGAAAAUCAAGGCUGAGGCGUGAUGACGAGGCACUACGGUGCUGAAGCAACAAAUGCCCUGCUUCCAGGAAAAGCCUCUAAGCAUCAGGUAACAUCAAAUCGUACCCCAAACCGACACAGGUGGUCAGGUAGAGAAUACCAAGGCGCUUGAGAGAACUCGGGUGAAGGAACUAGGCAAAAUGGUGCCGUAACUUCGGGAGAAGGCACGCUGAUAUGUAGGUGAAGCGAC
Molecule: ribosomal RNA, 478 nt
Filed under: Escherichia coli
Lineage: Bacteria; Pseudomonadati; Pseudomonadota; Gammaproteobacteria; Enterobacterales; Enterobacteriaceae
Also listed under: 1 other name
Description: partial 23S ribosomal RNA
Rfam family: Bacterial large subunit ribosomal RNA
Source: RNAcentral